This 1631-nucleotide ribosomal RNA is filed under the name Salmonella enterica. RNAcentral's name for it is "partial 23S ribosomal RNA". The record is from RNAcentral. Lineage: Bacteria; Pseudomonadati; Pseudomonadota; Gammaproteobacteria; Enterobacterales; Enterobacteriaceae.
AGCGGGUGAAAAGCCCGCUCGCCGGAAGACCAAGGGUUCCUGUCCAACGUUAAUCGGGGCAGGGUGAGUCGACCCCUAAGGCGAGGCCGAAAGGCGUAGUCGAUGGGAAACGGGUUAAUAUUCCCGUACUUGGUGUUACUGCGAAGGGGGGACGGAGAAGGCUAUGUUGGCCGGGCGACGGUUGUCCCGGUUUAAGCGUGUAGGUGUGUGUUCCAGGUAAAUCCGGUUCACUUUAACACUGAGGCGUGAUGACGAGGCACUACGGUGCUGAAGCAACAAAUGCCCUGCUUCCAGGAAAAGCCUCUAAGCAUCAGGUAACAUCAAAUCGUACCCCAAACCGACACAGGUGGUCAGGUAGAGAAUACCAAGGCGCUUGAGAGAACUCGGGUGAAGGAACUAGGCAAAAUGGUGCCGUAACUUCGGGAGAAGGCACGCUGACACGUAGGUGAAGUGRUUUACUCAYGGAGCUGAAGUCAGUCGAAGAUACCAGCUGGCUGCAACUGUUUAUUAAAAACACAGCACUGUGCAAACACGAAAGUGGACGUAUACGGUGUGACGCCUGCCCGGUGCCGGAAGGUUAAUUGAUGGGGUCAGCGCAAGCGAAGCUCCUGAUCGAAGCCCCGGUAAACGGCGGCCGUAACUAUAACGGUCCUAAGGUAGCGAAAUUCCUUGUCGGGUAAGUUCCGACCUGCACGAAUGGCGUAAUGAUGGCCAGGCUGUCUCCACCCGAGACUCAGUGAAAUUGAACUCGCUGUGAAGAUGCAGUGUACCCGCGGCAAGACGGAAAGACCCCGUGAACCUUUACUAUAGCUUGACACUGAACAUUGAGCCUUGAUGUGUAGGAUAGGUGGGAGGCUUUGAAGUGUGGACGCCAGUCUGCAUGGAGCCGACCUUGAAAUACCACCCUUUAAUGUUUGAUGUUCUAACGUGGACCCGUAAUCCGGGUUGCGGACAGUGUCUGGUGGGUAGUUUGACUGGGGCGGUCUCCUCCUAAAGAGUAACGGAGGAGCACGAAGGUUGGCUAAUCCUGGUCGGACAUCAGGAGGUUAGUGCAAUGGCAUAAGCCAGCUUGACUGCGAGCGUGACGGCGCGAGCAGGUGCGAAAGCAGGUCAUAGUGAUCCGGUGGUUCUGAAUGGAAGGGCCAUCGCUCAACGGAUAAAAGGUACUCCGGGGAUAACAGGCUGAUACCGCCCAAGAGUUCAUAUCGACGGCGGUGUUUGGCACCUCGAUGUCGGCUCAUCACAUCCUGGGGCUGAAGUAGGUCCCAAGGGUAUGGCUGUUCGCCAUUUAAAGUGGUACGCGAGCUGGGUUUAGAACGUCGUGAGACAGUUCGGUCCCUAUCUGCCGUGGGCGCUGGAGAACUGAGGGGGGCUGCUCCUAGUACGAGAGGACCGGAGUGGACGCAUCACUGGUGUUCGGGUUGUCAUGCCAAUGGCACUGCCCGGUAGCUAAAUGCGGAAGAGAUAAGUGCUGAAAGCAUCUAAGCACGAAACUUGCCCCGAGAUGAGUUCUCCCUGAGACUUAGAGUCUCCUGAAGGAACGUUGAAGACGACGACGUUGAUAGGCCGGGUGUGUAAGCGCAGCGAUGCGUUGAGCUAACCGGUACUAAUGAACCGUGAGGCUUAACCUU